This 2154-nucleotide long non-coding RNA is filed under the name Zea mays. RNAcentral's name for it is "long non-coding RNA (ZMAY_LNC003836)". Lineage: Eukaryota; Viridiplantae; Streptophyta; Magnoliopsida; Poales; Poaceae. The record is from RNAcentral.
GACCAUAUAAAUAAAACAAACUUCCUUUGACAAUAAGUUUCUAAUUAAAUCAUGGCUGCGCCUGGGCAGCGUUAUUGUGAGAGUAAAAGUGGACGUGCUGCUACUCCCCUCAUUCCCAACAUGUAUCAAGUACCUGCAUUGAGUAAUGCAAGAGUGAGAUGACACAUCUCAGCAAGUAAAAUAAUAUCAAACAGUUUAACCACAUAAGAACAUUGUUUUACCACCACUUUAUUCCACAACCUUCUUAUUACGAAGGUGCAGCACGUAUACAACGUACAACACACCUAGUUACCACACCUCGCAGGUAGAAACCACAACAGUAACAUAGUAAUGUCACACUUCAUAUAUUCCCCAUGAGUGCAAAUGUCUGCAAAUGCAAGGAUGACUUCUGCCUUCAUACCACUAAGGAUAUGAAGCCGCAUCGUACCCCUCCUCGGGCAACGUACGAUGCUAAAAAUGUACUGGUAUGGUCGAACCAUAAGAUCACGACAUAACUUCAAAAUGCAAGAUGGAUGAUGUGAUGUGCAUGUCAUGCCUACAACACUUCAUAUAACAUGAUUAAAAAAGAUACUUCAACUUCAUCCAAGAUGGGAAUCAACCACAUAUAUCAUUACCAAAUUAUGAUCAUCCACAAUAUUAGACAAUUGAGAAUUAAUACUUCCAAACAAAUAAAGUUUAUCAUAGAAUUCAAUGAUUAACAUAAUUAAAACUUAUGCAUACUCAAUGACAGGGAAUAGGAUGCAAACCAAAUGGUAGCAACCACCACUGUAUUUACUUGCCUUUACCGGAAGUUCGGGCAAAUCCCUAAGUACGAUCCGGAAGUCCACCACCUGUUUUUGGCACCCAACUUAGUGCACCAAUUUCACAUAAUCAGGCUCAUAAGCGACGCCGCACCUACGCACAAACUCAAACCCCGCCGCUGGUUACAUCUCUCCCUACACCCACCAAACUGCAGCGGCGCUGCUUAAUAAUUUCAUAACUUUAAAAUUAUGACAACAGUGGUAACAAACAAAAACUCCAGAGGCAUCUACAUAAAAUUCCCCACAAGUUUUGUAUAUUAUAAUUAAAUUCCAAUAUCUAAUUAGCCCAAAAUAGUCCACAAGAUGAACCCUGUAAUCUGUUUUUCUUUAUCUUUUGGACAGCGACAUACCCGGAUUCAAACAGCGAUAUCUUUUAAAAUAUAAUUCCAAAUCAAGCGCAAAAGUACUCAUUAGAAAGAUAAGACAAAUACCUACAUGAUUAUUAUACUGGUUAACACUAAUUACCCACGAAAAAUUCCCAGAAACUGCUAAUACCACUGCUGUUCACCCACCUGAAAAAUCUGUUUUUUGGACAGCAACAUAACCGGAUUCAAACAACGAUAUCUCAUAAAUUAUAACUCCGAAUCGAGCGCAUAAGUACUUGUUGGAAAGAUAACAUAAAGCACUACAUGAUUCUCAUACUGAUUAACACUAAUUACUCACGAAAAAUUCCCAGAAACUGCUAAUACCACUGCUGUUCACCCACCUGAAAAAUCUGUUUUUUUGGACAGCAACAUAACCGGAUUCAAACAACGAUAUCUCCUAAAUUAUAACUCUGAAUCGAGCGCAUAAGUACUUGUUGGAAAGAUAACAUAAAGCCCUACAUGAUUCUCAUACUGAUUAACACUAAUUACUCCCGAAUAAUCCCCAGAAACUGCUAAUACUGCUGCUGUUCAUCCCGUGAAAAUCUGUUUUUUUGACAGCCACCUACCCGGUUUCAAACGGUGAUAACUUUUAAUUUAUAACUCCAAAUUGAGCGCAUAAAUACUCGUUGGAAAGGUAUGCCAAAGUUCUACAUGAUUCCCAAACUGAUUCCCCUUAAUUCUCCACGAAAAAUGCCCAAAAAUCACUAAUUCUGCUGCUGUUCGUCCACCCCCUUAAAAUUCUGGACAGCCCUUCUACCAAAUCGCACACGCAACAUCUAAACAAUUGGAUUGCCGCAUAAAAUGAACAAGAGAUAAACACAAAAAUCACCUUGGGUUCUCCCCCUUUUCUUCCUCCCCUCCUCCCUCCACCGAAAACCGUUGAAGAUUUGCACCACGCGAUGGAGAUCCGAGCGGCAACGAAUGGCACCAUGGGAGGAGGAGAUGGGGGGGGCUAGGGUUUGAUGUGUGGCUGCAAGUGCUUGAGAAAG